GAGUUUGAUCGUGGCUCAGGAUGAACGCUAGCGGCGCGCCUAAUGCAUGCAAGUCGAGCGAUGAGGCACCUUUGGGUGUACAUCAGCGGCAGACGGGUGAGUAACACGUAGGUGACCUACCCCGAAGACGGGGAUAACAGGUGGAAACAUCUGCUAAUACCCGAUGGACUCUGAGCGGAAGCGAGGAGUAAAGGCUACGGUGCUUCGGGAGGGGCCUGCGGCCUAUCAGCUAGUUGGUAGGGUAACGGCCUACCAAGGCGAAGACGGGUAGGGGGUGUGAGAGCACGGCCCCCCACAAUGGGGACUGAGACACGGCCCAUACUCCUACGGGAGGCAGCAGCAGGGAAUAUUGCGCAAUGGGCGGAAGCCUGACGCAGCGACGCCGCGUGGAUGAAGAAGGCCUUC
RNAcentral lists this ribosomal RNA (405 nucleotides) under uncultured microorganism. RNAcentral describes it as "bacterial SSU rRNA". It matches the Rfam family "Bacterial small subunit ribosomal RNA", at positions 9 to 419 of the family's 1533-position model. The record is from RNAcentral.